RNAcentral lists this transfer RNA (72 nucleotides) under Mycobacterium phage Nanosmite. RNAcentral describes it as "tRNA-Cys". It matches the Rfam family "tRNA". Rfam says of the family: Transfer RNA (tRNA) molecules are approximately 80 nucleotides in length. Their secondary structure includes four short double-helical elements and three loops (D, anti-codon, and T loops). The record is from RNAcentral. Lineage: Duplodnaviria; Heunggongvirae; Uroviricota; Caudoviricetes; Vilmaviridae.
GGCGAGGUGGCUGAGUGGUUAGGCGAAGGGCUGCAACCCCUUUCACGCCGGUUCGAUUCCGGCCCGCGUCUC